GGCUCGGACUCAUGCAAUUGCAACGCCCAAAUCUUGUCAGGACCUGACGGUAGCAGCAAUACGGGAUGCUUGUGAUAGGCGUGGACUCCGGGCCUUU
Molecule: signal recognition particle RNA, 97 nt
Filed under: Phormidesmis priestleyi
Lineage: Bacteria; Bacillati; Cyanobacteriota; Cyanophyceae; Leptolyngbyales; Leptolyngbyaceae
Also listed under: 1 other name
Description: signal recognition particle sRNA small type
Rfam family: Bacterial small signal recognition particle RNA
About the family: The signal recognition particle (SRP) is a universally conserved ribonucleoprotein involved in the co-translational targeting of proteins to membranes. Archaeal SRP consists of a 7S RNA and homologues of the eukaryotic SRP19 and SRP54 proteins.
Source: RNAcentral